This 2731-nucleotide long non-coding RNA is filed under the name Sus scrofa (pig). RNAcentral describes it as "lncRNA (ENSSSCG00040027423.1)". Lineage: Eukaryota; Metazoa; Chordata; Mammalia; Artiodactyla; Suidae. The record is from RNAcentral.
AUGACACUUCUCAGCCCCAUCUCAGCAUCCAUGGAGCAGGUGCAUCUGAGCACAAGCCUGGUGGACCAGACUACAAGCCUAAGACGAGGGCACAGGAAGCCUGGGUAUUGCCCACAAACACUCCAUCCAGUUCUUCCAUGGCCUGCCUUGAGGUCUACCAAGCAUUUAAAAGUCACCUUACCUGCCUGGGUGCAGCUGCAAGAAGAAAAAAGAAUGCUGUUCGUGGAGUCCCUGCUAUGGCACAACAGGUUCAAUGGUAUCAAUGCAGCACCAGGACACAGGUUUGAUCCCCAGCCCCACACAGUGGGUCAUACAUCUGGUGUCAUCAUAGCUGCAGCCUAAGUCACAUCUGUGGCUUGGAUCUGAUCCCUGGCCUAGGAACUCCAACAUGGUUCAUAAAGUGGCCCCCAAAACAAACAAACAAACAAAAAAAAAAAAAGAAAAAGAAUGCUAUUAGUUAUAGUUCAUGUGAGAACUCCAAAUGUUUCUUCUUUUUCAAAUUAAAAAAAAAUUUCUUUAUUUUAGGUUCAUUACAUUUAAUUGUGAAUUUUAGAAGAAGUGGAUUAAUUUUGCCUGAAAAAAGUCCUGCUGAGCUUUUGACUAGGAUUAUGUUCAGUCUCUAAAGUGAUUUGAAGAGAACUGACAUCUUGGCAGUACGACAGGCUUCCAGCCUAUGAACAUUUAAUCUUUUCAUUUAUUUACGGCUUUUUCAAAUUCUCUCAGAAAUUUGGGGGGUGAAGAACACACCAUUAAGAAUGCUAUUUGCAUUGUAUCUCAGGGUUAACAACCCAGCUAGUAUCCAUGAGGCCACAGGUUCCAUCCCUGGCCUUGCUCUGGGUUAAGGAUCCUGUGUUGCUGUCAUCUGUGGUGUAGGUCUCAGACCUGGCUCAGACCCUGCAUUGCUAUGGCUGUGGUGUAGGCCAGCAGCUGCAGUUCCCAUUUGACCCUAGCCUAGGAACUUCCAUAUGCCCUGGCUGUGGCCCUAAAAAGACAAAAGAAAAAAUAUUCUUUGUUUUAUAUAUUUUAUGUAGGUGACCUAUUGGGUGGAGAGAGUGUUUCUUUUCUUACUUUUUGAGCAAACUUUUAGAUUAAAAGUAAAUAGUGAAUUUCAACAAUUUUUUUUUUUGCAAAUAGCGAGGUGAUCCUUUUUUCUUUUUCAAUUGUUUAAUAUGACAUUGAUUUUGAAUGUUAACUUAUAUCCUUGGAAUGAUCCUCCUUCAUCAUGAUAUGUUAUCUUUAUUACACAGCUUAAAUACAGCUUGCUAAAUAUGCAUUUAGAAUUUCUGACUCUAUGAUGAAUAUUGGUCUGUAGCUUUCUGUUCUUGUGGUAUUAAUUUGACCGACAGUGUAUUUCAUUUUUCCAGUGGUAUGUGACAGCAUUUACUGUUGUUGUCAUAUGUUUUACUUUUGCAUGUACAUUAUAAAUUUCCCAUUACACUCCUGUCAUUUUUGAGUAAACCAAUUAUUUUUAAAGGUAUUAAAAUAAGAACAAAUAGAUGGCUUUAUCAAGGAGCUACCACGGUGUUCUUCACUCUUGUUUAAAUGCAGAAUGUAAAUGCAUUUUCCUUCUGCCUGAAGGAAUUCUUUGGACAUUCAUUAUAGUGCUGGUAUGCUGGUCAUGAAUCCUUGCAAGUUUUGUAUAUCUGAAAAUGCAUUUUCUUCACCGUUGCUUGAUUUAAAGAUAUUUUUGCUGGGUAUAGAAUUCUAUGAGAUGAUUUUUGUUUUCCUUUUGUUUGUUUGUUUUUAAGUACUUUAAAUAUGUUUGUUACUGAGAAGAAAUCUAAAGUUAUUUUUGUCUCUCUGUACAAAAUGAUUUUCUUUUCUUCUGGUACUUGUAAAAACUUUAUGUCUAUCAUUCGUUUUGAGCAAUUUCAUUAUGAUGUGCCUUGGGAAAUUUUUUUCUCAUCUUUUACACUUAGAGUUUGUUGAGAUUGUUGCAUCUAUAGCCUUAUAGCUUUUUUUUUUAAAGUCUUGAAAAUUUCUGGCCAUUAUUCAUUCAAAUUAUUUUUCAGUCCUCUUCUCUUUCCUCUCCUUUGGCAAUUCCAAUCACCCAUGUAUUAGGAUAUUUGAUAUGGUACUAUAGUUCAUUUCUGCUCUUUUUUCUCUGUAUAUGCAGUUGACCUUUGAAGAACUUAGGGGGUUAGGGACAGUUGCAUUUGGAAUAGCCCCCUGUAACUUUAUAGUUUGCCCUAAAUACCCAUGGUUUUGCCUCUGCAGAUGCAACCAACCACAGACCAUAUAGUACUCCAGUAUUUAUUUUUAAAAAUCUUGUUGUGUUCCCAUUGUGGCUCAGUGGAAACAAGCCCGACUAGUAUCCAUGAGGAUGUGAGUUUGAUCCCUGGCCUUGCUCAGUGGGUUGAGGAUCUGGCAUUUCCAUGAGCUGUGGUAUAGGUCACAGGCACAGCUUGGAUCCCACCUUGCUGUGGCUGUGAUGUAGGCUGGCAGCUGCAGCUCCAAUUCGACCCCUGGCCUGGGUGUGGCCCUUAAAAAAGCAAAAAAAAAAAAAAUCUUGGCAUUAGCAUAUUCACACUGAGGUCUAUGGAAUGACUGGCCAGUGGAGACCUGUGGUCUAUCACAGAGAACUCUACCCAAUAUGCUGUGAUCAUCUAUGUGGGAAAAGAUUCUGAAAGAGAAUGGAUCAAUCCCUUGGUUUUACAGCAGAAAGUAUCACCACCUUGUAAAUCAACUCUACCUCAAUAAAACUCAAAUCAAAAAAAAAAAAAAAGUAACA